This 480-nucleotide ribosomal RNA is filed under the name uncultured bacterium. RNAcentral's name for it is "SSU rRNA". It matches the Rfam family "Bacterial small subunit ribosomal RNA", at positions 26 to 518 of the family's 1533-position model. The record is from RNAcentral.
AGGACGAACGCUGGCGGCGUGCUUAACACAUGCAAGUGGUGCGACGAACCAGGGCUUGCCCUGGGGCCAAGCCGCGAACGGGUGAGUAACACGUGAGUAACCUGCCCCGAUGACCGGGACAACCCGAGGAAACUCGGGCUAAUACCGGAUGUGGCGCACAGGCGUAAGCCUGUUCGCUAAAGGAAGCUUCGGCCUCCGCAUUGGGAGGGGCUCGCGGCCCAUUAGCUUGUUGGUGGGGUCAAGGCCUACCAAGGCGACGAUGGGUAGCUGGUCUGAGAGGACGAUCAGCCACACUGGGACUGAGACACGGCCCAGACUCCUACGGGAGGCAGCAGUGGGGAAUAUUGGACAAUGGGCGCAAGCCUGAUCCAGCCAUGCCGCGUGGAUGAUGAAGGCCUUAGGGUUGUAAAGUCCUUUCGGCGGGGAAGAUAAUGACGGUACCCGCAGAAGAAGCCCGGCUAACUUCGUGCCAGCAGCCGC